AAUAAUAAUAAUAAUAAUAAUAAUAAAUUAAAAAAAUAAAUACGUGCAUAAUGAAGUUGUUAUGCUUUUCUCUGGGUAACCUGCCUUGUUAGAGCCGUGUUGUCUGUGAUCCUUAUGAUGGGGAAAAAGGGAUCACACUUUUCCAUCCCUACCGUUUCUGCCACCAACCCUGGGGUGCCUGAGACACCUGACUCCACCGCAGAGCCUGCAGACGCCAUGCUGGGACAAUUGACAGAAUGCCGGCAAGGAAAAUCUAAGACUCUUUAAAAGUUUUUUUAACCAAGGCCAGCUCUCCCAGAUCUCUGCUUGCAGUGCCCGGUUGAGAAUGGAAGGUAAAAUUUUCUCUUUAUUCCUUCCUUCGCAAAUUCAGAUUAGCAGGAGAAAAUUAUUUGUAUGAACUAGUUUUUGGGGAUUGUGACUCUGGUGAUUUUUUCUUGGCAUGAGAACUCUUGUUUUAUGAUCCCUUCCCUCUCAGAGAUGGUCUUUGUUUUACAGAAACACCAAGAAGAGAGCCUAACAGAAACGCGGGUGGGACCCCGUAUGCAGCUAGCGUGCCAGCUGCUGCCGGCUCUGGGAGUUACCUGUCCCUCUUCUUCUGGCUGUCUUUGGGAGGGCUGUGUCUUUGCGCUUCUUUAGAGAGACUCCACGCAUCCUUGGUUAAGUCAUAAAAGGCUUAUUGGUUUCGAUUCCAAGUCACUUGGUAGAUACCUUUGGUUUUCUUUCUUUUUUAAAAAGGCGGAAAAGUACAAUACUGCCAGGAAUAUUUGCUGUUUGUCCUGGCUAAAAUCUGAUAGUGCAAUAUUUCAAAGGAUUUUUUUUUUUUUUUUUUGGAGACGGAGUUUCACUCUUUUUGCCCAGGCUGGAGUGCAAUGGUGAGAUUGCAGCUCACUGCAACCUCUGCCUCCCAGGUUCAAGCAAUUCUCCUGCCUCAGUCUCCCUAGUAGGAUGGAUUACAGGUGUGCGCCACCACACCUGGCUAUUUUUAGUACAGACAGGGUUUCACCAUGUUGGCCAGGCUGGUCUCGAACUCCUGACCUCAAGUGAUCCACCCACCUCAGCCUCCCAAAGUGCUGGGAUUAUAGGAGUCAGCCACUGCACCCGGCUAGGUUUUUUUUGUUUUUUUUUUUUGUUUGUUUUUUUUAAGUGCUCUAUGGUCAGAAGUCGGCUUGACUGGAAGAUGAUAUUGACGCUGUGCUUUUUUUCAGGCCUCUCUGCUCUUGUUCUCUCUUUGGGAUCCUGCUUCUCCCAUGGGAACUUCUCAGUUGACUGAGAAUCUCUUUUCGAACCACUGAUAAUUACAUCUCGGGCCCUCAGCCGCUUCCUUUCUUCUUGGUGUGAUUUUUCCUAAGGAUAAUAUAGAACUUCAUUAGUCUUUUCGGGAAAUGUGAGAUCGCCCCAAAUUGGCUCCUGGAAGACCUCUUCUUUCCUUUGCUUCCGCUCUUCCUCCCUUUGUCCACUUUGAGCUUCUAUGCAGCUCCCUUGUACCUUUAAAUACGUUCCACUUUGAGCCCCCACCUCCACCUGGUGGUCAGUGGAUAGAAAAUUGCUGAAAGGAAACAUCGGAGGUAAAAAGAAAUGCCUCUUCUUAAAUGCUUGAUUGCUGUAACCACAUAGAGGUGGAAGCCCAUCUGCAAAACCACCUCCUAAAAUGAGACACAGCUGUUAAGUGUUUAACUGAACUGAACUAUUUGUGGAACUGAGAGACUGGUUCAGUGGCCUGUGGGACAAUCCACCAACCCCAUUUCUGGACUUUUCCCAAGAAGUUUCAGACAGGGGAAUACUGGGGCUCAGAAAAUGAUGCUUCUAAAUCUGGUGCCUUGGCAUGCUGAGUACCUUGAACUAAAGGAGAUUGUGAAAGCCUCAGAAGCAAAGUUGCUCUAAGACCUUCUUCCAUCUUCCUGUCUCCUAUCCCUCAUUCUCCCCUGAAACAAGUCAUGGAAACCAGAAUUCCUCUUCCCUAAGGCAGAUCAUAGAAAUUCAAACUCCUCUCUCCUAGAGCGAGCCAUAAAGCCUAGGAGGCCACGCUUUCCCUUCUCUCUCUUCCCUCCUCCCUGGAGGACCCUCAUUCCAGAGGUGCUGCCCCAUACCCAGGAGGAAGGACUGCUACAGAGAGGCCAAGAAGCAUCUGAACAGACAAGCCUUGCUGGGUUUCUGCUGUCAGUCUAUUACAAUUCGAUCACUCUUCUGUCCAAUCGCAUUUUUACAUGGCUGUCCAUUCUUCAUUGAACAGAGGCAUAAAAACAGUUUUCCUUGGGUCUUUGGGUCUUCGUUUCUGAAAGCUCCUGUAUCACAUAAAAUUUUGAUUAAAUUAAUCUGUUAAGCUCUAAAAAAAAAAAAAAAAAGAAAAAGAAAGAAAGAGAGGGAGAGAGAGAGGGAAGGAGG
Molecule: long non-coding RNA, 2382 nt
Filed under: Homo sapiens (human)
Lineage: Eukaryota; Metazoa; Chordata; Mammalia; Primates; Hominidae
Description: HSALNT0205887
Source: RNAcentral